CCUGGUGGCUCAGACGGUAAAGUGCCUACCUACAAUGUGGGAGACCCAGGUUCGAUCCCUGGGUCAGGA
This 69-nucleotide transfer RNA is filed under the name Bos taurus (domestic cattle). It matches the Rfam family "tRNA". From Rfam's summary of the family: Transfer RNA (tRNA) molecules are approximately 80 nucleotides in length. Their secondary structure includes four short double-helical elements and three loops (D, anti-codon, and T loops). The record is from Rfam by way of RNAcentral. RNAcentral also lists the same sequence under 2 other names. Lineage: Eukaryota; Metazoa; Chordata; Mammalia; Artiodactyla; Bovidae.